This 71-nucleotide transfer RNA is filed under the name Loxodonta africana (African savanna elephant). It matches the Rfam family "tRNA". From Rfam's summary of the family: Transfer RNA (tRNA) molecules are approximately 80 nucleotides in length. Their secondary structure includes four short double-helical elements and three loops (D, anti-codon, and T loops). Lineage: Eukaryota; Metazoa; Chordata; Mammalia; Proboscidea; Elephantidae. The record is from Rfam by way of RNAcentral.
GCAAUGGUGAUUCAGUGGUAAAAUUCUCACCUUUCAUGUGGGAGACCAGGGUUCAAUUCUCAGCCACUACC